UAUUGAAGUUAUUUUUAUUUGAAGAAUUUUCUUGCUGUGGCUCCCGGAGUAACUGAAGUGCAUGUUUUCAUUGCAACACAUACUGUGCAUUCCUUUCUUGCUGUAGCAGUUGCCUUACAGUGUGCCUAAGACUCCAAGGGAAGAUAAAGAGCCUACAUUAUAAGUUGGAUGGAGAGAACUCACAACAUUAUUGCUAUUACUGCAGCAGGCAGCAAAAUUAAGAUCUGAGAGAUUUUCAACAUAUAACCUCCAAUUCUGCUUCCCAUGAGUAUUUCAUGCAGGUUACAUUGAAACUGAAAAAAGAAGGGCAGGGUGAAUGUGAC
This 323-nucleotide long non-coding RNA is filed under the name Zonotrichia albicollis (white-throated sparrow). RNAcentral describes it as "lncRNA (ENSZALG00000009339.1)". The record is from RNAcentral. Lineage: Eukaryota; Metazoa; Chordata; Aves; Passeriformes; Passerellidae.